CAACGACCUCACUUUCUCCUCCUCUUCCUUUUCAGGUGGCAUUUCUCCGUGUAUCCUCAUAGCCCGCAAAACCCUCUACUUUUUUGGUUGCAGAAAGAUUGUGUAAGUUGAUUAGUAAUCCCUAGAAAACAAGAAAAGAUAAGAACCUGAAUGAUUUCAAUAUUUCUUUUCGAGUAUCUUCGUGUGUUUUUUGUUUUGCGUUUCUCUCUGUUUAUCACUGUCAGGAUACAGAGAGAGGGGUGGCGCUGGGUGUCGGUACAGUGCGUGUUUCUUGCAGGGUAUAGAUUGGUCGUUGCUA
Populus euphratica (Euphrates poplar) is the source of this 298-nucleotide long non-coding RNA. RefSeq lists it as uncharacterized. The transcript is spliced from 2 exons. The record is from RefSeq and is a predicted model, not a curated record. NCBI's taxonomy places the organism in Eukaryota, Viridiplantae, Streptophyta, Magnoliopsida, Malpighiales, Salicaceae.